GUGGGGAAUUUUGGACAAUGGGGGCAACCCUGAUCCAGCAAUGCCGCGUGCAGGAAGAAGGCCUUCGGGUUGUAAACUGCUUUUGUACGGAACGAAACGGUCUGGGUUAAUACCCUGGGCUAAUGACGGUACCGUAAGAAUAAGCACCGGCUAACUACGUGCCAGCAGCCGCGGUAAUACGUAGGGUGCGAGCGUUAAUCGGAAUUACUGGGCGUAAAGCGUGCGCAGGCGGUUUUGUAAGACAGGCGUGAAAUUCCCGGGCUCAACCUGGGAAUGGCGCUUGUGACUGCAAAGCUGGAGUGCGGCAGAGGGGGAUGGAAUUCCGCGUGUAGCAGUGAAAUGCGUAGAUAUGCGGAGGAACACCGAUGGCGAAGGCAAUCCCCUGGGCCUGCACUGACGCUCAUGCACGAAAGCGUGGGGAGCAAACAGGAUUAGAAACCCCGGUAGUCC
This 450-nucleotide ribosomal RNA is filed under the name uncultured bacterium. RNAcentral describes it as "partial 16S ribosomal RNA". It matches the Rfam family "Bacterial small subunit ribosomal RNA", at positions 354 to 796 of the family's 1533-position model. The record is from RNAcentral.